GGGGAAUCUUCCGCAAUGGGCGAAAGCCUGACGGAGCAAUACCGCGUGAGGGAGGAAGGCCUUCGGGUUGUAAACCUCUUUUUUCAGGGAAGAAAAAAAUGACGUUACCUGAGGAAUAAGCCUCGGCUUACCCCGUGCCAGCAGCCCCGCUAAUUCGGUGCAUGCAAGCGUUAUCCGGAAUGAUUGGGCGUAAAGGGUCCGCAGGUUGCAUUGUAAGUCUGUCGUUAAAGAGCUUGGCUCAACCAUAUAAAAUUAGUGGAAACAACUUAGUUCGGUUUUCGUCGGGGCUGAGGGUUUUCC
This 300-nucleotide ribosomal RNA is filed under the name uncultured cyanobacterium. RNAcentral describes it as "bacterial SSU rRNA". It matches the Rfam family "Bacterial small subunit ribosomal RNA", at positions 356 to 670 of the family's 1533-position model. The record is from RNAcentral. Lineage: Bacteria; Bacillati; Cyanobacteriota.